AUUGAACGCUGGCGGCAGGCUUAACACAUGCAAGUCGAACGAGUGGCGGACGGGUGAGUAAUGCUUGGGAAUCUGGCUGAUGGAGGGGGAUAACUACGGGAAACGGUAGCUAAUACCGCGUACCAUAGGAUGAGCCCAAGUGGGAUUAGGUAGUUGGUGGGGAAAAGGCUCACCAAGGCGACGAUCUCUAGCUGGUCUGAGAGGAUGACCAGCAAAUCGGGGACUAGAACCCGGCCCAGACCCCGACGGGAGGAAGCAGUGGGGAAGAUUGCGAAAGGGGGGCAACCUGUGGCAGCCAUGCCAGGUGAAUGAAGAAGGCCUGGGGGUUGUAAAGUUUUUUCGGUAGCGAGGCGUUAACUACAGAAGAAGCACCGGCUACCCCCUUGCCAGCAGCCGCGUAAUUC
RNAcentral lists this ribosomal RNA (404 nucleotides) under uncultured bacterium. RNAcentral's name for it is "partial 16S ribosomal RNA". It matches the Rfam family "Bacterial small subunit ribosomal RNA", at positions 29 to 525 of the family's 1533-position model. The record is from RNAcentral.